This is a long non-coding RNA of Passer domesticus (house sparrow), 649 nucleotides long. RefSeq lists it as uncharacterized. The transcript has 2 exons. The record is from RefSeq and is a predicted model, not a curated record. NCBI's taxonomy places the organism in Eukaryota, Metazoa, Chordata, Aves, Passeriformes, Passeridae.
UUAGUGUGCUGUCCGAUAUCCCUGUCACCCGCCCGGCAAUGUGGUCAGGCUCCAUGACAACAGGGAGUUCCAAAGUGCUACCGUGAAUGGGAAUGACACCACCGUGCCCCACAGCAUCUGAUGGCAAGUUACUCCCCACUGUGUCCACGGCUAAAGGUUCGUGGCUCCGGGAGCCAUUCGGGAUCUGCGUGUGAUCCCCGGCUACAUCAUCCAUCCACAACAAGCCAAGAAAUGAACAGCUUAAUCAGCUGCAUCAAAUAUUCCUGCAUGCAAUGCUCCCUUGUGGCUUGAACACAGAGGAUCCUUGAUGACAGCAAGAUGACUGACAGAAGAACUGUAUAAAACAUCACAGGAAGAUUAUUCCAGCUCAGAAAAUGGCAAAUACCUUUGGUCCUAGUGCACAGUUUCCUUCUCUACUCUUUGGCCACUGAACAGGCAGACAUGCAGUGCAGUAGGAAAGGUUACUCCUAAGCAGCUGGGAAGUUCAGCCAUCAGUCAACAGGUAGCUGCACAAGACCUAGGCCACUAGCUUAUUCCUAACCCAGGCUGAACCAACAACACUCAGAGAGUCACCUUGAAGAAGUUUAACUAUCUGUCUGUUCCACCCUGUCAAUCUUAGCUACCAAAUAAAACCAGGACUGCAUUUAAA